AACGAACGCUGGCGGCAGGCUUAACACAUGCAAGUCGAGCGCCCCGCAAGGGGAGCGGCAGACGGGUGAGUAACGCGUGGGAAUCUACCCAUCUCUACGGAAUAACCCAGGGAAACUUGGACUAAUACCGUAUACGUCCUAACGGAGAAAGAUUUAUCGGAGAUGGAUGAGCCCGCGUUGGAUUAGCUAGUUGGUGGGGUAAUGGCCCACCAAGGCGACGAUCCAUAGCUGGUCUGAGAGGAUGAUCAGCCACACUGGGACUGAGACACGGCCCAGACUCCUACGGGAGGCAGCAGUGGGGAAUAUUGGACAAUGGGCGCAAGCCUGAUCCAGCCAUGCCGCGUGAGUGAUGAAGGCCCUAGGGUUGUAAAGCUCUUUCACCGGUGAAGAUAAUGACGGUAACCGGAGAAGAAGCCCCGGCUAACUUCGUGCCAGCAGCCGCGGUAAUACGAAGGGGGCUAGCGUUGUUCGGAAUUACUGGGCGUAAAGCGCACGUAGGCGGACUAUUAAGUCAGGGGUGAAAUCCCGGGGCUCAACCCCGGAACUGCCUUUGAUACUGGUGGUCUGGAGUCCGGAAGAGGUGAGUGGAAUUCCGAGUGUAGAGGUGAAAUUCGUAGAUAUUCGGAGGAACACCAGUGGCGAAGGCGGCUCACUGGUCCGGUACUGAC
This 668-nucleotide ribosomal RNA is filed under the name uncultured Alphaproteobacteria bacterium. RNAcentral describes it as "bacterial SSU rRNA". It matches the Rfam family "Bacterial small subunit ribosomal RNA", at positions 28 to 744 of the family's 1533-position model. The record is from RNAcentral. Lineage: Bacteria; Pseudomonadati; Pseudomonadota; Alphaproteobacteria.